RNAcentral lists this long non-coding RNA (2099 nucleotides) under Salmo salar (Atlantic salmon). Its description in RNAcentral is "lncRNA (ENSSSAG00000094124.1)". The record is from RNAcentral. Lineage: Eukaryota; Metazoa; Chordata; Actinopteri; Salmoniformes; Salmonidae.
GUUGCAUCUUGUAUCUAUAAAAUGAGCUGCUCGUACUGCAGUGUUUUUUGAAAGAUAUUAGCCAUGGGUGUUAGCCAUGGAGAACAGAAAAUAUUUUGCUAAUGCUCUCAAUAACAUUGCUGCCCUGAAUUAUCAGGCGCUAUCGACAAAGGUCAGUGGGAUAAAGUUGUGAUGGACUACUUUCUGGACGAUGAUCAUGCCAUUCAAUGCUGACUCUCUCAUUUCAUAACAUGUUUUGAAAUCAGUGGAACACAACGGGCCAAACAAGCUGUGCAAACUAAACAGAAACAACACAGGAGGUCUACAAAAAAUGGCUUGCAGUCUGUCGUGAAGCUUUCAUCCAUGUAUACAGCAUCAAUUAGUAGAACUAGCCUGACUCUAAUCCACCAGCCAUACAGUCAUCAAAAAGAGAGCUGGCCAAAGCAAGCAAAGGCAGCAACACAGUCAUCAACUACAUGCACCAUUUCUUCAACUAUAGAGUUGUGAAAACACGUGUGGACCUGAAUUGUGAUAACUGCAGUGGCCAAAAAAGGACAAGUUUGUGCUCUGGUAUUGUGCCUGGUGGACCAUGCACAAGCUCCACCACAAUCUGGCCCUUCACUUCCUGAUCACAGGCCACACCAAGUUUGCCCCUGACUUGUGCUUUGGCCUCAUCAAGCAGUGCUUCCGAGUGAACACUUUGUCUGAGAUUGCUGGUAUUGUGAAGAACAGCACUGUGACAGGGGUCAACAUCCCACAGCUGGUUGGACUGGAGGAUGGUACGGUGCUGGUGGAAAGCUAUGGCUGGCAACAACACCUGACUCCGUAAUUCAGGCCACUCCCACAGAUCAAGCAGUACCAGCACUUCAGCUUCGAUGCUCUGAAGCCUGGUGUUCUCGCCAAGGAGCGUUCGGACUGUCGGGACCAGGUUUCAGCUGCUGCGCAUUUGCUGACAUCCUUCCUCCCAUAGAUGGUCUGCCUGUAAAAGCACAACCUGGACUGGACACAGCUAGACAAACUAUCUUUUUGACAAGAUCAGGGAGUUUUGCGACAAAGAGGCUAUGGACACCACAUGCCCUGCACCAAAGUCAACGGCAAGACGGAAACAGGCUCUCCGAAUAUAGAUUCCCUUGUUCAUGCGUGGUUUGGACAGACCAGUCAUCAGCACUAUCUGCGGUGCCUCUAUUCACAUAACUCUCUCCUGACACACACGCCAUAAGUUGCUGCUAUUUUUUUUUAUCCUGCUGCUCAGCCACUUUACCUCUGAUUGUAUGUAUAUAACUACCUUGUCUAUCACUGACAUCGUUAGUGUUCUUGUACAUACUGUAUAUUUUAUUUAUAUUGACACUAUCUAUUUCUGAUAUUGCUACUAUGCAAGUAACCAUUUGGCUGUACCGUUUACACCUUCCGUUGAGACCAUCCUGUCAAGUGUCAGUUGUGCAGAGGUGAGAACAGAGUCAAGCGCAGGACACAGAACUGAGUAAAAUAACGUACUUUACUCAGAAAAAGAAUCAGCCAAUAAAUCCACGCAGGGAUAACAAACCCUAACACAAAAGACUAACACAAAACCAAGAAACAAUCACACACAAAACAUAAUGAGAACCAGAGAGUUAAAUAGGGAAAUAAUAAUAACGUAACGGGAACCAGGUGUGAACAACCAAGACAUAACAAAUGGAAAAAGAAACGUGGAUCGGUGGCAGCUAGAAAGCCAGGCGACGACGACGACCGCCGAACGCCACCCGAACAAGGAGAGGCACCAACUUCGGCGGCAGUCGUGACACAUCCACUUAGCAAGACUUAGCAAAAUAUUGAUAUGUGCGGUCGUAACAUGAUUUUGUGACAUACCACAACAAUAUCAUGUGACCGUAUCAAGUGUCCACCACUUAAAUAUAUGGAGCGUACAUCUGUUUAUGUACUGUACAUGUGCACCUCACUCAGGUUUCAACUCAGGUUGCAUGGCCUUAACUUAUGUAUGGAAUACUAGGUGAUAAGCGCAUGUGUAACAGUAUAUAAAGUAUACUAUUGUACUGGUGUGAAUGCAUUUGAGCAGUGAUGUAAAGUACUUCUUACAUUUUGACAGGAAAAUUGUCCAAUUCAAACACUUAUCAAGAGAACAUCCC